UCUUCUUCUUCACCCACAACAAACUUCACUCUCUCUCCAUUAAAUUUGUCUCUUCGAUCGCAAUUCUUUUUCGUGCUUCGAGCUUGUUCAGAUCCGAGGUGGCAAAGACCGAGAGCUCCAUUCUUUUGCCGAUCGAUUGAGAUAGUUCAUGGCUGACAUGGGGAAAAACGUGCUCGAUAUUCAGCAAAUACUUCUGGACGCAUAAGAUCGGUGGUUACGCCCAGCUGAAAUUUAUGAAAUUCUUAAAAAUCACAAACAGUUUGAAAUUCCACCAGAGCCUCCACAUAUACCUCCAAAUGAGAUGGGCUUUGUACGGUAGACUCUCUCAAUGCAUGCCUCACGUGGUCAUACUUUUUGUAUGCAGGUGGUUCUCUAUUUCUUUAUGAUCGGAAGACACUCAGAUCCAUCAGAAAGGAUGGGUUUGAGUGGAGGAAGAGAAGAGAUGGGAAGACAGUGAUGGAAGCUCAUGAGAGACUCCAGGUGGGAAAUGUUGACGUGUUGCAUUGCUAUUAUGCACAUGGAGAACAUAAUGAAAAUUUUCAGCGACGCACCUAUUGGAUGCUUGGAGAGUGAGUUUUCUGUAAGAUCUUAAUAGAUAAUCUUCAAAGAAUAAGGUUAUUGGGAUAAAAAGGCUAUUCAUUAUGGAUAUUUAUCUUCUGUGCGUGUGUUUGGUGGGGGGAUGUGGUUUUGUAUAUGUAUAUGUAUAUGUAGAUAGAUAAGGCACAUAGUUGACAGCUAAAAAAAAUUUGCUUUUAAGUAUGUUAGAGUAAUUACAUAUUAAACAACGCUUUCAUAUAAAAGCUUAAAUU
This is a long non-coding RNA of Syzygium oleosum, 809 nucleotides long. RefSeq lists it as uncharacterized. The transcript has 4 exons. The record is from RefSeq and is a predicted model, not a curated record. NCBI's taxonomy places the organism in Eukaryota, Viridiplantae, Streptophyta, Magnoliopsida, Myrtales, Myrtaceae.